RNAcentral lists this ribosomal RNA (491 nucleotides) under uncultured bacterium. Its description in RNAcentral is "partial 16S ribosomal RNA". It matches the Rfam family "Bacterial small subunit ribosomal RNA", at positions 28 to 507 of the family's 1533-position model. The record is from RNAcentral.
GAUGAACGCUGGCUACAGGCUUAACACAUGCAAGUCGAGGGGAAACGACGGGGAAGCUUGCUUCCCCGGGCGUCGACCGGCGCACGGGUGAGUAACGCGUAUCCAACCUGCCUCUGACUGAGGGAUAACCCGUCGAAAGUCGGCCUAAUACCUCAUGGUAUCGUCUGCGGGCAUCCAACGACGAUUAAAGAUUUCAUCGGUCAGGGAUGGGGAUGCGUCUGAUUAGCUUGUUGGCGGGGUAACGGCCCACCAAGGCUACGAUCAGUAGGGGUUCUGAGAGGAAGGUCCCCCACAUUGGAACUGAGACACGGUCCAAACUCCUACGGGAGGCAGCAGUGAGGAAUAUUGGUCAAUGGGCGAGAGCCUGAACCAGCCAAGUAGCGUGCAGGAAGACGGCCCUAUGGGUGGUAAACUGCUUUUAUGCGGGGAUAAAGUGAGGGACGUGUCCCUCAUUGCAGGUACCGCAUGAAUAAGGACCGGCUAAUUCCGUG